Molecule: ribosomal RNA, 263 nt
Filed under: uncultured bacterium
Lineage: Bacteria
Description: partial 16S ribosomal RNA
Rfam family: Bacterial small subunit ribosomal RNA
Source: RNAcentral
CUUAGUGGCGGACGGGUGAGUAACGCGUGGGUAACCUGCCCCAUACCGGGGGAUACCACCUGGAAACAGGUGCUAAUACCGCAUAAGCGCACGGGAGCGCAUGCUCCUGUGUGAAAAACUCCGGUGGUAUGGGAUGGACCCGCGUCUGAUUAGCUAGUUGGAGGGGUAAAAGCACACCAAGGCGACGAUCAGUAGCCGGCCUGAGAGGGUGGACGGCCACAUUGGGACUGAGACACGGCCCAGACUCCUACGGAAGGCAGCAG